AUAUAAAACUUCACCCACGAAAGUUUGCCCUGAGCCUCUCUUCGCAGCAGGCCGCCAUCAACCAGAGCCUUGUAGCUGAGCCAUCCCUCUCCUCUGUUGUCCGCUGCACUCAGCCUCCUCUUCUUCCGUCCUCGUCAACCUUCCAGCAUCCCUCUUCACAGAGCCUCCUCACCUGCUUCACCAUGUACCUCUCUCCUCUCUUUCUCUCUCUUUCCCUCUCUUUCCAUUUCUAGAAAAUGGCUUUCUUUCUCAUCUCUCUCUGCAGAACUACUUUAUUCUCUCUCCAUCUAGCUGUGUAGCCCUAAAUCUCUUUCUCUCUCUAUCACCAACCUCCCAUCCGUCAUUGACAUCAGAGCUCCAGGUUCUGCAAAACCGACAUUCUCCAGUCAAGAUGCAGUGACAGCAAACGAAUUGAUAAAAGAGCUUAUUGAUUGGAAAAUUAUUCAGGAUGAAAAUGGAAUAGGGCACCAAAUAAAUCAAAAUUACACAAAGAAGCUAUCGGUGUCACCUCCAGUGGUGUGAAACCCAUCUUCCCAGCAGUUGCAGCCAUGGCAUCAUCAUCCUUCUUCUCUUUCUCUCGAAUUCCAGCCUAUCUUUCUCGCACUACCCUAAAAAGGCGUUUUCUCUCUUCUCGCUGCUCUCCUUUCGUCCGACCUCCUGAUGUGGCUCAGUUAGCAGAGAGUGCUCGAAUUUCACUUACCGCAAAUGAGAUUGAAGAGUUUGGUCCCAAAAUCAAACAAGUCAUAGACUGGUUUGGACAACUUCAAGCUGUUAAUCUUGAAAGCAUUGAACCUGCACUUCGAGCUGACAAGUACGGAAUCUAAUCUUUUCAUACUGGAAGCAGCAGUGAUAAUUGAAGAUACCAGAUAUGGUUCUGGAUAUGAUGCAUGGGGAUAUGAGUUUGUAUUUCUCAAAAUCAGGGACACUGAUACUAGUGUCCUGUCAUGUACGUCUAUAAAUAUAAUCUUGCGUAUUACAUAAAGAUAUGCAUCCAGCACAUCAAUACACAUACCAUAUAUUAGUGCAUACUUUUGCAUUUGGUCAUAAUCUUUUUUUAGAAGUAUCUCAUUUUGUAUUUGCUAGUGUCCUAGCAGAAUCCUGUAUCAGUAUUGAUGAUAACAUGAUACGAAACCUGCAUAUUAAACAUGUACACGUCUCCCGGCAUCGCAAGUAAUAAGUAUGGUAAGAAGAAAGCCAUGACUUUGGUUUGGUAGGUGUAAGAUGCGCAUUUCGUGUUGAAAUCUGCAACUGACAUGUCCUUGGAAGAGUUAAGACACUUAAUUAAAAGUACACGAAGUUUUUAGAUGUUUGAGUGGAGUGGUGAUUCUUGGGCAUGAUCAAACUCCUAAUGCAUUUUGGACAUCAACAAUCUCUUUGAUGCCUGAAUAAGAUUGGGUUUUAUGCCUUUGUAUGAGUGAAAUUUGUUUUCUGGACUCAAUUGGAACAUCUGUUGAGACAGUAUAUUUUGUCUCUAUCCCACAUAUGGAGCUUUGUCUCCAUCUCACAUAUGGAGCCUGAUAACUCCUAGUUGUUCGAAACUUAGAUUGCCAUAAUGAUUUCAGCACAUGGUCCACUAUCGCUUUGUCCCAUGCAUUGUCGUAGAUGCUGCAUGUUAUCCAAGACUAUAUGAUCUGUUUUGGUUGAAGUAUUCGUAGAUAUUAAUAUAUUAUUGCCACAGAUAGGUGCACAUAGAAGUGGAUAUUUGGUUUGACUUAAAUGAACACUAUUUUGCAUAUGAGGUGCAGUUACUUUCAUUUUCCUCAUUAUGGAUAACUUGUUGAAACCUUGAUGCACUUGUGUGCGACCUAACCUGGCAUCUCAUGUUGCACAGAUCUUAAACUUAUUAAAUGUAUGCUUUGAGAAGGCCUUAUCUGAUUGUUAUCUGCCUUACCUAAAUUGGUGAUCGUAGUUUGUUAUAGUUGUAGCAAUGCUGAUGUAGGCCUGAUUGUGUCUUUGGGCUUCUCUUGUAUCUUGUAGUAUGCCUCCUGCCAUUUCCAAAUGUUGAGACGAAUUUUGCUCUAUGAGGCUCCCUGCUUUUGAGAGUAUGCGUCCUGCCAUUUCCAAAUGUUGAGAUAGAUUUUGCGCUAUGAGGCUCCCUGCUUUUGAGAGUAUGCGUCCUGCCAUUUCCAAAUGUUGAGAUAGAUUUUGCGCUAUGAGGCUCCCUGCUUUUGAGAUUAUCAUGUUAGUUUAAGCUUGUGUAACAUCUAGUUCUGUUUUCAACAACGUGAGAGUUGCAUAGUUUGCUAAUUCAGUAGUUUCUUAAUACCAGUUAAAGGCCUAGUGAAUGAUUGGUCAUGUGGGGUUGUAGGCUCAUUCUGUUAUAUGGUUCAGUCUUUCGGUUGGUUGGCAUCAAGUGUGUGACUAAAUGAUUCAGAAUCCUAUUUGCCCAAGUGAAAUCAAAUAGCACUGGCUAAUAUAUAAUAUUGCAGUUCUGGAAACCUGAGGGUUAUGUGCAUGGAUACCGGAGGAAGUGACAAUACACGAGCAGAUGAACCUGAAAUUUUUGGAAACAGAGAGGCAAUGAUAGCAGCAGUUUCAAGCUACAGCGAGCCAUUUAUCAAAGUUCCCAAAGUCUUGAACAAGGAAUAAUGUUUUAAAGGGUGCUCUCACCCCAAAAAUCUUAGGGCUUCAUGUCGACUUGUCAUUCUUUUGCUGAUCUCCUAAGAAAUUUUACAUUACCUGCAAAAUUGCCAAAGAAUUUGUACAUUGAUGGAUUGAUGAAAAUUCAUUUCAUCCAUGGGUACCUGAUGCAGGACUUUAUUCAUAUGAACAACACCAUAAAAUAUGAUUAAAAUGACUUAGAAACCCAUAUUCAUGUCAUUAAACUUGAAAGGGCUA
RNA transcript from Amborella trichopoda, 2838 nucleotides. It is a transcript of the gene named glutamyl-tRNA(Gln) amidotransferase subunit C, chloroplastic/mitochondrial, with no coding region annotated. NCBI's taxonomy places the organism in Eukaryota, Viridiplantae, Streptophyta, Magnoliopsida, Amborellales, Amborellaceae. The record is from RefSeq and is a predicted model, not a curated record.